This 253-nucleotide ribosomal RNA is filed under the name uncultured bacterium. RNAcentral's name for it is "partial 16S ribosomal RNA". It matches the Rfam family "Bacterial small subunit ribosomal RNA", at positions 524 to 776 of the family's 1533-position model. The record is from RNAcentral.
UACGUAGGGUGCGAGCGUUAAUCGGAAUUACUGGGCGUAAAGCGUGCGCAGGCGGCGCGUUAAGACAGGUGUGAAAGCCCCGAGCUUAACUUGGGAAUUGCGCUUGUGACUGGCGUGCUGGAGUGUGGCAGAGGGAGGUGGAAUUUCACGUGUAGCAGUGAAAUGCGUAGAGAUGUGGAGGAACACCGAUGGCGAAGGCAGCCUCCUGGGCCAGCACUGACGCUCAUGCACGAAAGCGUGGGGAGCAAACAGG